RNAcentral lists this ribosomal RNA (418 nucleotides) under uncultured bacterium. Its description in RNAcentral is "bacterial SSU rRNA". It matches the Rfam family "Bacterial small subunit ribosomal RNA", at positions 64 to 507 of the family's 1533-position model. The record is from RNAcentral.
GAACGAGAAAGUGGAGCAAUCCAUGAGUACAGUGGCGUACGGGUGAGUAACACGUGACUACCUGCCCUCGAGUGGGGAAUAACCUCGGGAAACCGGGGCUAAUACCGCAUAACAUCGAGAGAUCAAAGCAGCAAUGCGCUUGAGGAGGGGGUCGCGUCUGAUUAGCUAGUUGGUAGGGUAACGGCCUACCAAGGCGAUGAUCAGUAGCCGGCCUGAGAGGGCGCACGGCCACACUGGAACUGAGACACGGUCCAGACUCCUACGGGAGGCAGCAGUGGGGAAUUUUUGGCAAUGGGGGCAACCCUGACCAAGCAACGCCGCGUGGGUGAUGAAGUCUCUUGGGACGUAAAACCCUUUCGACGGGGACGAAGCCGCAAGGUUGACGGUACCCGUAGAAGAAGCCCCGGCUAACUCCGUG